GUCUUAUUGAAAAUAAUUUUAAGUCAAUCUGCCCAAUGAUUAUUAAAAUUUUAAUGGCUGCAGUAUAAUUAACUGUACUAAGGUAGCAUAAUCAAUUGUUUUUUAAUUAAAAACUAGAAUGAAAGAAUUAAUGAGAUAUAUACUGUCUCAUAUAUAUAAAAUAAAUUUAAAUUUUUAGUAAAAAUGCUUAAAUUAUUUUAUGGGACGAUAAGACCCUAUAGAAUUUUAUAUUAAUAUAUAAUUAAUAAUUUAAUUAUAAUAUUAAUAUUUGAUUGGGAGGAUUAAUAAAUUUAAUUAACUUUAUUUUUAAAAUAAACUUUAAUUUUAGAAUAAUUUUUGAUCUUAUAUUAUAAAUUAAAAAAAUAAAUUACCUUAGGGAUAACAGCGUAAUAUCUUUUUAAAGAUCAUAUUUAUAAAGAUGUUUGCGACCUCGAUGUUGAAUUAAGAUAAAUUUUAGGUGAAGAAAUCUAAAUAUUAAGUCUGUUCGACUUUUAAAAUCUUACAUGAUUUGAGUUCAAAUCGACGUAAGU
RNAcentral lists this ribosomal RNA (530 nucleotides) under Bombus zonatus. Its description in RNAcentral is "partial 16S ribosomal RNA". The stretch from base 378 to 530 matches the Rfam family "Bacterial large subunit ribosomal RNA", at positions 2473 to 2626 of the family's 2925-position model. Lineage: Eukaryota; Metazoa; Arthropoda; Insecta; Hymenoptera; Apidae. The record is from RNAcentral.